GACCACUCCAUUCACGUCAUACGU
RNAcentral lists this non-coding RNA (24 nucleotides) under Arabidopsis thaliana (thale cress). Lineage: Eukaryota; Viridiplantae; Streptophyta; Magnoliopsida; Brassicales; Brassicaceae. The record is from RNAcentral.